This 368-nucleotide ribosomal RNA is filed under the name uncultured bacterium. Its description in RNAcentral is "bacterial SSU rRNA". It matches the Rfam family "Bacterial small subunit ribosomal RNA", at positions 28 to 396 of the family's 1533-position model. The record is from RNAcentral.
GACGAACGCUGGCGGCGUGCUUAACACAUGCAAGUCGAGCGGUAAGGCCCUUUCGGGGGUACACGAGCGGCGAACGGGUGAGUAACACGUGGGUGACCUGCCCUCAGCUCUGGGAUAAGCCCGGGAAACUGGGUCUAAUACCGGAUAUGACUCCACGGUGCAUGUCGUGGGGUGAAAGCCUUGUGCGGCUGAGGAUGGGCCCGCGGCCUAUCAGCUUGUUGGUGGGGUGAANGGGCCUACCAAGGCGACGACGGGUAGCCGGCCUGAGAGGGCGACCGGCCACACUGGGACUGAGACACGGCCCAGACUCCUACGGGAGGCAGCAGUGGGGAAUCUUGCGCAAUGGGCGAAAGCCUGACGCAGCGACG